GACGAACGCUGGCGGCGUGCUUAACACAUGCAAGUCGAACGGAAAGACCCUGCUUUUGUGGGGUGCUCGAGUGGCGAACGGGUGAGUAACACGUGAGUAACCUGCCCUUGACUUUGGGAUAACUUCAGGAAACUGGGGCUAAUACCGGCUAGGAGCUCCUGCUGCAUGGUGGGGGUUGGAAAGUUUCGGCGGUUGGGGAUGGACUCGCGGCUUAUCAGCUUGUUGGUGGGGUAGUGGCUUACCAAGGCUUUGACGGGUAGCCGGCCUGAGAGGGUGACCGGCCACAUUGGGACUGAGAUACGGCCCAGACUCCUACGGGAGGCAGCAGUGGGGAAUAUUGCACAAUGGGCGGAAGCCUGAUGCAGCAACGCCGCGUGCGGGAUGACGGCCUUCGGGUUGUAAACCGCUUUCGCCUGUGACGAAGCGUGAGUGACGGUAAUGGGUAAAGAAGCACCGGCUAACUACGUG
Molecule: ribosomal RNA, 468 nt
Filed under: uncultured bacterium
Lineage: Bacteria
Description: partial 16S ribosomal RNA
Rfam family: Bacterial small subunit ribosomal RNA
Source: RNAcentral